RNAcentral lists this ribosomal RNA (798 nucleotides) under Serratia odorifera. RNAcentral describes it as "bacterial SSU rRNA". It matches the Rfam family "Bacterial small subunit ribosomal RNA", at positions 1 to 761 of the family's 1533-position model. Lineage: Bacteria; Pseudomonadati; Pseudomonadota; Gammaproteobacteria; Enterobacterales; Yersiniaceae. The record is from RNAcentral.
AGCGUUUUUGGGAUUUUUUUUGGGAGACUUUAUUUUAGAUUUUUUUUUUCUGCUCAGAUUGAACGCUGGCGGCAGGCCUAACACAUGCAAGUCGAGCGGUAGCACAGGGAGCUUGCUCCUGGGUGACGAGCGGCGGACGGGUGAGUAAUGUCUGGGAAACUGCCUGAUGGAGGGGGAUAACUACUGGAAACGGUAGCUAAUACCGCAUAAUGUCUACGGACCAAAGUGGGGGACCUUCGGGCCUCAUGCCAUCAGAUGUGCCCAGAUGGGAUUAGCUAGUAGGUGGGGUAAUGGCUCACCUAGGCGACGAUCCCUAGCUGGUCUGAGAGGAUGACCAGCCACACUGGAACUGAGACACGGUCCAGACUCCUACGGGAGGCAGCAGUGGGGAAUAUUGCACAAUGGGCGCAAGCCUGAUGCAGCCAUGCCGCGUGUGUGAAGAAGGCCUUCGGGUUGUAAAGCACUUUCAGCGAGGAGGAAGGGUUCAGUGUUAAUAGCACUGUGCAUUGACGUUACUCGCAGAAGAAGCACCGGCUAACUCCGUGCCAGCAGCCGCGGUAAUACGGAGGGUGCAAGCGUUAAUCGGAAUUACUGGGCGUAAAGCGCACGCAGGCGGUUUGUUAAGUCAGAUGUGAAAUCCCCGCGCUUAACGUGGGAACUGCAUUUGAAACUGGCAAGCUAGAGUCUUGUAGAGGGGGGUAGAAUUCCAGGUGUAGCGGUGAAAUGCGUAGAGAUCUGGAGGAAUACCGGUGGCGAAGGCGGCCCCCUGGACAAAGACUGACGCUCAGUGGAAACGCC